GUGACCAACCUCCGCCGAUCCGUCCCGAGCGAGUGACAAAGCCCCAUACGCUCGAGGACCAGACGGACGUCGCCGCUGCCUUUCGGGCAGGUCCCCGGGGGGACCACACCCAACACACAAGCCGGGCUUGAGGGCAGAAAUGACGCUCGGACAGGCAUGCCCCCCGGAAUGCCAGGGGGCGCAAUGUGCGUUCAAAGAUUCGAUGAUUCACGGAAUUCUGCAAUUCACAUUACUUAUCGCAUUUCGCUGCGUUCUUCAUCGAUGCCGGAACCAAGAGAUCCAUUGUUGAAAGUUUUGACAAUUUUCAUUCGACUCAGACAGCCCAUCUUCAUCAGGGUUCACAGAGCGCUUCGGCGGGCGCGGGCCCGGAGACGGACGUCCCCCGGCGACCGGGUGGCCCCGGUGGGCCCGCCAAAGCAACAGGUAGAGAGAGACACGGGUGGGAGGUUG
Molecule: unclassified non-coding RNA, 450 nt
Filed under: Talaromyces marneffei
Lineage: Eukaryota; Fungi; Ascomycota; Eurotiomycetes; Eurotiales; Trichocomaceae
Description: sequence contains ITS1, 5.8S rRNA gene and ITS2
Source: RNAcentral